Molecule: ribosomal RNA, 252 nt
Filed under: uncultured bacterium
Lineage: Bacteria
Description: partial 16S ribosomal RNA
Rfam family: Bacterial small subunit ribosomal RNA
Source: RNAcentral
UACGGAGGGAGCUAGCGUUGUUCGGAAUUACUGGGCGUAAAGCGCACGUAGGCGGCUUUGUAAGUUAGAGGUGAAAGCCUGGAGCUCAACUCCAGAAUUGCCUUUAAGACUGCAUCGCUUGAAUCCAGGAGAGGUGAGUGGAAUUCCGAGUGUAGAGGUGAAAUUCGUAGAUAUUCGGAAGAACACCAGUGGCGAAGGCGGCUCACUGGACUGGUAUUGACGCUGAGGUGCGAAAGCGUGGGGAGCAACAGG